GUAGUGGUGGUUCAGUAGUAGAACUCUUGCUUUCCCUGAGGGAGACCCAAGUUCAAUUCCUGGCCAGUACA
This 71-nucleotide transfer RNA is filed under the name Loxodonta africana (African savanna elephant). It matches the Rfam family "tRNA". Rfam says of the family: Transfer RNA (tRNA) molecules are approximately 80 nucleotides in length. Their secondary structure includes four short double-helical elements and three loops (D, anti-codon, and T loops). Lineage: Eukaryota; Metazoa; Chordata; Mammalia; Proboscidea; Elephantidae. The record is from Rfam by way of RNAcentral.